AAAUUUUUGGGCGAGGCCCUAACCAUGGAGUCGAUUUUGAGAAACUCUAGCCGUUUCAAGAAGGCUAAGGUUUCGGCUGCUCAAUCUCAAGAUGAAGAAAGUCAGCAUGUCGAUGUUGUCCCUGAUAGUCUAGCAGACACUCAGAAUGAGUAACUCCUCCCUUCUCUUUUGUUGCUAUUGAAAUGACCCAAUAUUUGGUACACAAUCACCUGUCCAUUUUCUG
Molecule: unclassified non-coding RNA, 223 nt
Filed under: Hevea brasiliensis (rubber tree)
Lineage: Eukaryota; Viridiplantae; Streptophyta; Magnoliopsida; Malpighiales; Euphorbiaceae
Source: RNAcentral